Molecule: long non-coding RNA, 151 nt
Organism: Lutra lutra (Eurasian river otter)
Lineage: Eukaryota; Metazoa; Chordata; Mammalia; Carnivora; Mustelidae
Exons: 3
Source: RefSeq, a predicted model, not a curated record
CAGGACACUAUGUAUAAAAUUAAAAUUUUAUAGUCAGCAGAGUAAAGAUAGAAAAUGAAAAAAGAAUGGCAAGGUGAGAAGUCUAUCCUUAAAAAUCUGAAUGAUGGGGUGCCUGGGUGGCUCAGUGGGUUAAAGCCUCUGCCUUUGGCUC